UACAGAGGGUACUAGCGUUGUUCGGAUUGACUGGGCGUAAAGGGUGCGUAGGUUGCUCUUUAAGUAAGGUGUGAAAGCCCUGAGCUUAACUCAGGAACUGCAUCUUAUACUGAAGAGCUAGAGUAUGGCAGAGGAAACAGGAAUUCCUAGUGUAGGGGUAAAAUCCACAGAUAUUAGGAGGAACACCAAAAGCGAAGGCAAGUUUCUGGGCCAAUACUGACACUGAGGCACGAAAGCGUGGGGAGCAAAC
RNAcentral lists this ribosomal RNA (250 nucleotides) under uncultured bacterium. Its description in RNAcentral is "partial 16S ribosomal RNA". It matches the Rfam family "Bacterial small subunit ribosomal RNA", at positions 524 to 773 of the family's 1533-position model. The record is from RNAcentral.